This 2907-nucleotide ribosomal RNA is filed under the name Escherichia coli. RNAcentral's name for it is "23S ribosomal RNA". It matches the Rfam family "Bacterial large subunit ribosomal RNA". The record is from RNAcentral. Lineage: Bacteria; Pseudomonadati; Pseudomonadota; Gammaproteobacteria; Enterobacterales; Enterobacteriaceae.
GGUUAAGCGACUAAGCGUACACGGUGGAUGCCCUGGCAGUCAGAGGCGAUGAAGGACGUGCUAAUCUGCGAUAAGCGUCGGUAAGGUGAUAUGAACCGUUAUAACCGGCGAUUUCCGAAUGGGGAAACCCAGUGUGUUUCGACACACUAUCAUUAACUGAAUCCAUAGGUUAAUGAGGCGAACCGGGGGAACUGAAACAUCUAAGUACCCCGAGGAAAAGAAAUCAACCGAGAUUCCCCCAGUAGCGGCGAGCGAACGGGGAGCAGCCCAGAGCCUGAAUCAGUGUGUGUGUUAGUGGAAGCGUCUGGAAAGGCGCGCGAUACAGGGUGACAGCCCCGUACACAAAAAUGCACAUGCUGUGAGCUCGAUGAGUAGGGCGGGACACGUGGUAUCCUGUCUGAAUAUGGGGGGACCAUCCUCCAAGGCUAAAUACUCCUGACUGACCGAUAGUGAACCAGUACCGUGAGGGAAAGGCGAAAAGAACCCCGGCGAGGGAGUGAAAAAGAACCUGAAACCGUGUACGUACAAGCAGUGGGAGCACAGAGCAAUCUGUGUGACUGCGUACCUUUUGUAUAAUGGGUCAGCGACUUAUAUUCUGUAGCAAGGUUAACCGAAUAGGGGAGCCGAAGGGAAACCGAGUCUUAACUGGGCGUUAAGUUGCAGGGUAUAGACCCGAAACCCGGUGAUCUAGCCAUGGGCAGGUUGAAGGUUGGGUAACACUAACUGGAGGACCGAACCGACUAAUGUUGAAAAAUUAGCGGAUGACUUGUGGCUGGGGGUGAAAGGCCAAUCAAACCGGGAGAUAGCUGGUUCUCCCCGAAAGCUAUUUAGGUAGCGCCUCGUGAAUUCAUCUCCGGGGGUAGAGCACUGUUUCGGCAAGGGGGUCAUCCCGACUUACCAACCCGAUGCAAACUGCGAAUACCGGAGAAUGUUAUCACGGGAGACACACGGCGGGUGCUAACGUCCGUCGUGAAGAGGGAAACAACCCAGACCGCCAGCUAAGGUCCCAAAGUCAUGGUUAAGUGGGAAACGAUGUGGGAAGGCCCAGACAGCCAGGAUGUUGGCUUAGAAGCAGCCAUCAUUUAAAGAAAGCGUAAUAGCUCACUGGUCGAGUCGGCCUGCGCGGAAGAUGUAACGGGGCUAAACCAUGCACCGAAGCUGCGGCAGCGACGCUUAUGCGUUGUUGGGUAGGGGAGCGUUCUGUAAGCCUGCGAAGGUGUGCUGUGAGGCAUGCUGGAGGUAUCAGAAGUGCGAAUGCUGACAUAAGUAACGAUAAAGCGGGUGAAAAGCCCGCUCGCCGGAAGACCAAGGGUUCCUGUCCAACGUUAAUCGGGGCAGGGUGAGUCGACCCCUAAGGCGAGGCCGAAAGGCGUAGUCGAUGGGAAACAGGUUAAUAUUCCUGUACUUGGUGUUACUGCGAAGGGGGGACGGAGAAGGCUAUGUUGGCCGGGCGACGGUUGUCCCGGUUUAAGCGUGUAGGCUGGUUUUCCAGGCAAAUCCGGAAAACUAAGGCUGAGGCGUGAUGACGAGGCACUACGGUGCUGAAGCAACAAAUGCCCUGCUUCCAGGAAAAGCCUCUAAGCAUCAGGUAACAUCAAAUCGUACCCCAAACCGACACAGGUGGUCAGGUAGAGAAUACCAAGGCGCUUGAGAGAACUCGGGUGAAGGAACUAGGCAAAAUGGUGCCGUAACUUCGGGAGAAGGCACGCUGAUAUGUAGGUGAAGUCCCUCGCGGAUGGAGCUGAAAUCAGUCGAAGAUACCAGCUGGCUGCAACUGUUUAUUAAAAACACAGCACUGUGCAAACACGAAAGUGGACGUAUACGGUGUGACGCCUGCCCGGUGCCGGAAGGUUAAUUGAUGGGGUUAGCGGUAACGCGAAGCUCUUGAUCGAAGCCCCGGUAAACGGCGGCCGUAACUAUAACGGUCCUAAGGUAGCGAAAUUCCUUGUCGGGUAAGUUCCGACCUGCACGAAUGGCGUAAUGAUGGCCAGGCUGUCUCCACCCGAGACUCAGUGAAAUUGAACUCGCUGUGAAGAUGCAGUGUACCCGCGGCAAGACGGAAAGACCCCGUGAACCUUUACUAUAGCUUGACACUGAACAUUGAGCCUUGAUGUGUAGGAUAGGUGGGAGGCUUAGAAGUGUGGACGCCAGUCUGCAUGGAGCCGGCCUUGAAAUACCACCCUUUAAUGUUUGAUGUUCUAACGUUGGCCCCUGAUCGGGGUUGCGGACAGUGUCUGGUGGGUAGUUUGACUGGGGCGGUCUCCUCCUAAAGAGUAACGGAGGAGCACGAAGGUUGGCUAAUCCUGGUCGGACAUCAGGAGGUUAGUGCAAUGGCAUAAGCCAGCUUGACUGCGAGCGUGACGGCGCGAGCAGGUGCGAAAGCAGGUCAUAGUGAUCCGGUGGUUCUGAAUGGAAGGGCCAUCGCUCAACGGAUAAAAGGUACUCCGGGGAUAACAGGCUGAUACCGCCCAAGAGUUCAUAUCGACGGCGGUGUUUGGCACCUCGAUGUCGGCUCAUCACAUCCUGGGGCUGAAGUAGGUCCCAAGGGUAUGGCUGUUCGCCAUUUAAAGUGGUACGCGAGCUGGGUUUAGAACGUCGUGAGACAGUUCGGUCCCUAUCUCGCCGUGGGCGCUGGAGAACUGAGGGGGCUGCUCCUAGUACGAGAGGACCGGAGUGGACGCAUCACUGGUGUUCGGGUUGUCAUGCCAAUGGCACUGCCCGGUAGCUAAAUGCGGAAGAGAUAAGUGCUGAAAGCAUCUAAGCACGAAACUUGCCCCGAGAUGAGUUCUCCCUGACUCCUUGAGAGUCCUGAAGGAACGUUGAAGACGACGACGUUGAUAGGCCGGGUGUGUAAGCGCAGCGAUGCGUUGAGCUAACCGGUACUAAUGAACCGUGAGGCUUAACCUU